Molecule: unclassified non-coding RNA, 214 nt
Filed under: Hevea brasiliensis (rubber tree)
Lineage: Eukaryota; Viridiplantae; Streptophyta; Magnoliopsida; Malpighiales; Euphorbiaceae
Source: RNAcentral
CAGAUCUUCGUCUUACCCCAUGACCCAGAAUCAGAGCUCCAUUCCACAGACCCAAAUCCGAUUCACCAUCCAAGCUUCUACCAAGAACUAACUAUUGGCAACGUGGGGUCAUCGGAAAAUUGGAAUUGAAGCAUCAAAUUGCUUUGAAAAAAGGGUUAUGUUAAGGAUCGAUGGCGGCGAUUCGAGGGUUUGCCGAAAAUGAGGGAAAGUGUGG